This 889-nucleotide ribosomal RNA is filed under the name Richtersius cf. coronifer. Its description in RNAcentral is "SSU rRNA". It matches the Rfam family "Eukaryotic small subunit ribosomal RNA", at positions 53 to 942 of the family's 1831-position model. Lineage: Eukaryota; Metazoa; Tardigrada; Eutardigrada; Parachela; Richtersiusidae. The record is from RNAcentral.
GCAUGUCUCAGUACUUGCUAUAACAAGGCGAAACCGCGAAUGGCUCAUUAAAUCAGUUAUGGUUCACUAGAUCGUACAGUUUACACGGAUAACUGUGGUAAUUCUAGAGCUAAUACGUGCAAUCAGCUCGCUUCCUUGUGAAGCGAGCGCAGUUAUUAGAACAAGACCAAUCCGGCCUUCGGGUCGGUACAAUUGGUGACUCUGAAUAACCGAAGCGGAGCGCAUGGUCUCGUACCGGCGCCAGAUCUUUCAAGUGUCUGACUUAUCAGCUUGUUGUUAGGUUAUGUUCCUAACAAGGCGUUUACGGGUAACGGGGUAUCAGGGUCCGAUACCGGAGAGGGAGCCUGAGAAACGGCUACCACAUCUAAGGAAGGCAGCAGGCGCGCAAAUUACCCACUCCCGGCACGGGGAGGUAGUGACGAAAAAUAACGAUGCGAGAGCUAUAAAGUUUCUCGUAAUCGGAAUGGGUACACUUUAAAUCCUUUAACGAGGAUCUAUUGGAGGGCAAGUCUGGUGCCAGCAGCCGCGGUAAUUCCAGCUCCAAUAGCGUAUAUUAAAGUUGCUGCGGUUAAAAAGCUCGUAGUUGGAUCUGGGUAGCUGGACGGAUGGUAUGCUUUACUGUGUUACUGUCUGUUCGGCACCACAAGCCGGUCAUGUCUUGCAUGCUCUUCACUGAGUGUGCUUGGCGGCCGGAACGUUUACUUUGAAAAAAUUAGAGUGCUCAAAGCAGGCGUACGGCCUUGCAUAAUGGUGCAUGGAAUAAUGGAAUAGGACCUCGGUUCUAUUUUGUUGGUUUUCGGAACUCGAGGUAAUGAUUAAUAGGAACAGACGGGGGCAUUCGUAUUGCGGCGUUAGAGGUGAAAUUCUUGGAUCGUCGCAAGACGAACUA